This 1189-nucleotide long non-coding RNA is filed under the name Calidris pugnax (ruff). RNAcentral describes it as "lncRNA (ENSCPUG00000000568.1)". Lineage: Eukaryota; Metazoa; Chordata; Aves; Charadriiformes; Scolopacidae. The record is from RNAcentral.
CUAGAUGCGCUCCCAGGAAGGUUUGGGUACCGGGGCUGCUCCCCGUCGCCAUGGCAACGGCGCUGAGCAUCCCUAGCAACGCCCUGCCAUCCCAUAAUAACGACCCCCCCCGUCUCCAUGGCAACGGUGGGGCCCCCUAGCAACGGCCUGGGUACCAAGGCGGCUCCCCGUCGCCAUGGCAACGGCGCUGAGCAUCCCUAGCAACGCCCUGCCAUCCCAUAAUAACGACCCCCCCCGUCUCCAUGGCAACGGUGGGGCCCCCUAGCAACGGCCUGGGUACCAAGGCGGCUCCCCGUCGCCAUGGCAACGGCGCUGAGCAUCCCUAGCAACGCCCUGCCAUCCCAUAAUAACGACCCCCCCCGUCUCCAUGGCAACGGUGGGGCCCCCUAGCAACGGCCUGGGUACCAAGGCGGCUCCCCGUCGCCAUGGCAACGGCGCUGAGCAUCCCUAGCAACGCCCUGCCAUCCCAUAAUAACGACCCCCCCCGUCUCCAUGGCAACGGUGGGGCCCCCUAGCAACGGCCUGGGUACCAAGGCGGCUCCCCGUCGCCAUGGCAACGGCGCUGAGCAUCCCUAGCAACGCCCUGCCAUCCCAUAAUAACGACCCCCCCCGUCUCCAUGGCAACGGUGGGGCCCCCUAGCAACGGCCUGGGUACCAAGGCGGCUCCCCGUCGCCAUGGCAACGGCGCUGAGCAUCCCUAGCAACGCCCUGCCAUCCCAUAAUAACGACCCCCCCCGUCUCCAUGGCAACGGUGGGGCCCCCUAGCAACGGCCUGGGUACCAAGGCGGCUCCCCGUCGCCAUGGCAACGGCGCUGAGCAUCCCUAGCAACGCCCUGCCAUCCCAUAAUAACGACCCCCCCCGUCUCCAUGGCAACGGUGGGGCCCCCUAGCAACGGCCUGGGUACCAAGGCGGCUCCCCGUCGCCAUGGCAACGGCGCUGAGCAUCCCUAGCAACGCCCUGCCAUCCCAUAAUAACGACCCCCCCCGUCUCCAUGGCAACGGUGGGGCCCCCUAGCAACGGCCUGGGUACCAAGGAGGCUCCCCGUCGCCAUGGCAACCCUGCUGAGCAUCCCUGCCAUCCCAUAAUACCCUGCCAUCCCAUAAUACCGCCCCCCCGUCUCCAUGGCAACGUUGGCGCCCCCUAGCGCCAGCCCUGGGUACCAAGGAGCCUCCCCGUCGCCAUGGCAAC